Molecule: ribosomal RNA, 450 nt
Filed under: uncultured bacterium
Lineage: Bacteria
Description: partial 16S ribosomal RNA
Rfam family: Bacterial small subunit ribosomal RNA
Source: RNAcentral
GUGGGGAAUAUUCCGCAAUGCACGAAAGUCUGACGGAGCAACGCCGCGUGAGUGAUGAAGGUUUUCGGACUGUAAAGCUCUGUUGUUUGGGACGAAAGUGCCUGUUGCGAACAGUUACGGGUAUUGACGGUACUAAACGAGGAAGCCACGGCUAACUACGUGCCAGCAGCCGCGGUAAUACGUAGGUGGCAAGCGUUGUCCGGAAUUAUUGGGCGUAAAGAGCAUGUAGGCGGGAAUCUAAGUCUGUUGUUAAAAUGCGGGGCUCAACCCCGUAUUGCGAUGGAAACUGGGUUUCUUGAGUGCAGGAGAGGAAAGGGGAAUUCCCAGUGUAGCGGUGAAAUGCGUAGAUAUUGGGAGGAACACCAGUGGCGAAGGCGCCUUUCUGGACUGUGUCUGACGCUGAGAUGCGAAAGCCAGGGUAGCGAACGGGAUUAGAAACCCCGGUAGUCC